GAACCAUCCAGAGCGGCGGAGGGACUGGCCCUACGAAGCCGCGGCAACCUUCGCUAUAGCGAGACGGUGCCAAAUCCAGCAGGAAUUCCUGGCAGAUGGUCG
Molecule: non-coding RNA, 102 nt
Filed under: Dethiosulfovibrio peptidovorans
Lineage: Bacteria; Thermotogati; Synergistota; Synergistia; Synergistales; Dethiosulfovibrionaceae
Also listed under: 1 other name
Description: SAM-I sequence
Rfam family: SAM riboswitch aptamer (S box leader)
About the family: The SAM riboswitch is found upstream of a number of genes which code for proteins involved in methionine or cysteine biosynthesis in Gram-positive bacteria.
Source: RNAcentral